AGAGUUUGGGACCUGGCUCAGAUUGAACGCUGGCGGCAUGCUUUACACAUGCAAGUCGAACGGCAGCGAGGAGAAGCUUGCUUCUCUGUCGGCGAGUGGCGAACGGGUGAGUAUAGCAUCGGAACGUGCCAAGUAGUGGGGGAUAACCAAACGAAAGUUUGGCUAAUACCGCGUAAGCUCCAAGGAGGAAAGUAGGGGACCUAAAUAAGGCCUUACGCUAUUUGAUCGGCCGAUGUCGGAUUAGCUAGUUGGUGGGGUAAUGGCUCACCAAGGCAAUGAUCCGUAGCGGGUCUGAGAGGACGAUCCGCCACACUGGGACUGAGACACGGCCCAGACUCCUACGGGAGGCAGCAGUGGGGAAUUUUGGACAAUGGGGGAAACCCUGAUCCAGCCAUGCCGCGUGUAUGAAGAAGGCCUUAGGGUUGUAAAGUACUUUUGUUAGGGAAGAAAAGCUAGUUUUUAAUAAAAAUUAGUGAUGACGGUACCUACAAGAAUAAGCACCGGCUA
This 507-nucleotide ribosomal RNA is filed under the name uncultured Neisseriales bacterium. Its description in RNAcentral is "bacterial SSU rRNA". It matches the Rfam family "Bacterial small subunit ribosomal RNA", at positions 8 to 499 of the family's 1533-position model. The record is from RNAcentral. Lineage: Bacteria; Pseudomonadati; Pseudomonadota; Betaproteobacteria; Neisseriales.